This 828-nucleotide ribosomal RNA is filed under the name Acinetobacter sp. RNAcentral describes it as "bacterial SSU rRNA". It matches the Rfam family "Bacterial small subunit ribosomal RNA", at positions 80 to 903 of the family's 1533-position model. Lineage: Bacteria; Pseudomonadati; Pseudomonadota; Gammaproteobacteria; Moraxellales; Moraxellaceae. The record is from RNAcentral.
UUGCUACAUUACCUAGCGGCGGACGGGUGAGUAAUGCUUAGGAAUCUGCCUAUUAGUGGGGGACAACAUUCCGAAAGGAAUGCUAAUACCGCAUACGUCCUACGGGAGAAAGCAGGGGACCUUCGGGCCUUGCGCUAAUAGAUGAGCCUAAGUCGGAUUAGCUAGUUGGUGGGGUAAAGGCCUACCAAGGCGACGAUCUGUAGCGGGUCUGAGAGGAUGAUCCGCCACACUGGGACUGAGACACGGCCCAGACUCCUACGGGAGGCAGCAGUGGGGAAUAUUGGACAAUGGGGGGAACCCUGAUCCAGCCAUGCCGCGUGUGUGAAGAAGGCCUUUUGGUUGUAAAGCACUUUAAGCGAGGAGGAGGCUACUAGUAUUAAUACUACUGGAUAGUGGACGUUACUCGCAGAAUAAGCACCGGCUAACUCUGUGCCAGCAGCCGCGGUAAUACAGAGGGUGCGAGCGUUAAUCGGAUUUACUGGGCGUAAAGCGUGCGUAGGCGGCUGAUUAAGUCGGAUGUGAAAUCCCUGAGCUUAACUUAGGAAUUGCAUUCGAUACUGGUCAGCUAGAGUAUGGGAGAGGAUGGUAGAAUUCCAGGUGUAGCGGUGAAAUGCGUAGAGAUCUGGAGGAAUACCGAUGGCGAAGGCAGCCAUCUGGCCUAAUACUGACGCUGAGGUACGAAAGCAUGGGGAGCAAACAGGAUUAGAUACCCUGGUAGUCCAUGCCGUAAACGAUGUCUACUAGCCGUUGGGGCCUUUGAGGCUUUAGUGGCGCAGCUAACGCGAUAAGUAGACCGCCUGGGGAGUACGGUCGCAAGACUAAAACUCA